GACGAACGCUGGCGGCGUGCUUAACACAUGCAAGUCGAACGAAGAGCGAUGGAAGCUUGCUUCUAUCAAUCUUAGUGGCGAACGGGUGAGUAACGCGUAAUCAACCUGCCCUUCAGAGGGGGACAACAGUUGGAAACGACUGCUAAUACCGCAUACGAUCUGACCUCGGCAUCGAGGAUAGAUGAAAGGUGGCCUCUAUUUAUAAGCUAUCACUGAAGGAGGUGAUUGCGUCUGGUUAGCAAGUUGGAGGGGUAACGGCCCACCAAGGCGAUGAUCAGUAGCCGGGCUGAGAGGAUGAACGGCCACAUUGGGACUGAGACACGGCCCAGACUCCUACGGGAGGCAGCAGUGGGGAAUCUUCCGAAAUGGACGAAAGUCUGACGGAGCAACGCCGCGUGAGUGAUGACGGCCUUCGGGUUGUAAAGCUCUGUUAAUCGGGACGAAAGGCCUUCUUGCGAAUAGUUAGAAGGAUUGACGGUACCGGAAUAGAAAGCCACGGCUAACUACGUG
This 510-nucleotide ribosomal RNA is filed under the name uncultured bacterium. Its description in RNAcentral is "partial 16S ribosomal RNA". It matches the Rfam family "Bacterial small subunit ribosomal RNA", at positions 28 to 507 of the family's 1533-position model. The record is from RNAcentral.